UGCACGGUGGUGCAGUUGGUAGCACUGUAGCCUUAUAGCAAGAAGGCCCUGGGUUCGACUCCUGGCCGGGGGUCUUUCUGCAU
This is a non-coding RNA of Ataeniobius toweri, 83 nucleotides long. The record is from the annotation of a GenBank genome assembly. NCBI's taxonomy places the organism in Eukaryota, Metazoa, Chordata, Actinopteri, Cyprinodontiformes, Goodeidae.